CACGAUGUGAUCCACCAGCCAGGAGGGACGCCAACAAGGCAUCCGAUAAGAUAAAUCUUAUAUAAAAUAUAGAUUUAUGAUAAUUAAGACUAAGCUAACAGAUGAGGAAUCCUAGUCAUUGGCCAAGCAUCAUUGAACCUAAUACAAGUUUCUGUGUAUUCAUUUGGGCCUAACUUGAGCAGGCAGCUGGCGUAAAGCACACACGUGGUGGUGGGGCUCAGGCAGUUUAUGGUGGAAAGAUUUAUCUUGAGCCUUCCUCAGACCAACAUCAACCCUGCUGGAGCAACUCCUUGAGCAGCCAAACCUUUGGAGGCCUCAACCUGAGAGACUAGAAAUAAAGAGUGAAGUCAGGGCCCUCAUCCAGUGCCUGAUGGAAGCAGAGGCAAACAUCCACAGAUAUACUGAACUGAACUCUAGAAACCUAGUUGCAGAAAGGGAGGAAUGAG
RNAcentral lists this long non-coding RNA (446 nucleotides) under Cricetulus griseus (Chinese hamster). RNAcentral's name for it is "lncRNA (ENSCGRG00015037098.1)". The record is from RNAcentral. Lineage: Eukaryota; Metazoa; Chordata; Mammalia; Rodentia; Cricetidae.